RNAcentral lists this ribosomal RNA (429 nucleotides) under Actinomycetes bacterium. RNAcentral's name for it is "Actinobacteria bacterium partial 16S ribosomal RNA". It matches the Rfam family "Bacterial small subunit ribosomal RNA", at positions 355 to 776 of the family's 1533-position model. The record is from RNAcentral. Lineage: Bacteria; Bacillati; Actinomycetota; Actinomycetes.
UAGGGAAUCUUCCGCAAUGGGCGAAAGCCUGACGGAGCAACGCCGCGUGAGUGAUGAAGGUCUUCGGAUCGUAAAACUCUGUUAUUAGGGAAGAACAAAUGUGUAAGUAAUUAUGCACGUCUUGACGGUACCUAAUCAGAAAGCCACGGCUAACUACGUGCCAGCAGCCGCGGUAAUACGUAGGUGGCAAGCGUUAUCCGGAAUUAUUGGGCGUAAAGCGCGCGUAGGCGGUUUUUUAAGUCUGAUGUGAAAGCCCACGGCUCAACCGUGGAGGGUCAUUGGAAACUGGAAAACUUGAGUGCAGAAGAGGAAAGCGGAAUUCCAUGUGUAGCGGUGAAAUGCGCAGAGAUAUGGAGGAACACCAGUGGCGAAGGCGACUUUCUGGUCUGUAACUGACGCUGAUGUGCGAAAGCGUGGGGAUCAAACAGG